Molecule: long non-coding RNA, 9619 nt
Filed under: Homo sapiens (human)
Lineage: Eukaryota; Metazoa; Chordata; Mammalia; Primates; Hominidae
Description: PREDICTED lncRNA (TCONS_00263014)
Source: RNAcentral
GCGGCCGCCUCUCCACGCCCUGCCCCGGGCCGCCCGCCAGGCCGCCGUUUCCCGGAGCCGGCCCCCUCCCGCCCUCGCGGCCGGCUGAUGUCAUCUGCACACAACUUUCCGCUUCCCGGCCCGUCUCGGGGCCCUGAGUCAUCGCCGCCCCCGGCCCCGACGCUGGCCUGCGGCGUCUGUUUGUGCAGAGCGAGGCCCCGCCGGCCGGGCUUGACGUCAGGCUGGCAGGGCCUGGAACGGCCCCGCAUCGCGGCCCCCUGGGGGCAGGACGACACCGCUGGGGGCCGAGGGCAGGGCACGCCUUCGGAAUCCGGCUUCGAAGCCGGCCGCCUGACCUGGGGCAAGUGCUUUCAACUCUCUGAACUUCGGUUCCUCAUCUGCCAGUUGGCAGACGCUCAGCAAAUCUUCCUAGACUCACGGGGCGAAUUGUACAGUUGGGUAAAUCGAGGCCCAGAGAUGGCAAAAGGACCGUCCAAGGUCGUACAGCCACCCGGAAUUACAAUUCUUUUCUGCCGGGUCACACGCUGUCAUCCACGUGUUACCUAAGAGAGCUUUCCAGCCUGUGCUAAGAAAACUGCCCCACAUCAUCUGCAGUAGGACGGGGGAGUUGGAGCCCUGGUCAGGCCACUCUGCUACUGACCACAGUUUUCUCAUCUCUAAAAAGGCGCAGUAACAAUAUAAUUACCGUAUGCAGUCCCCCAGGAUACAGGGUCAAAGGAGAGCACAACCAUCGCAGUUGGAAGCCCAUGGGGCAGCAGGGCCCAGGACACAGUGAGCAUACAAUAGACAUUAGCUGCUGUGGUGUCUUGAUUUCAAGCCCAGUGCAGAUGCAUCUGACUUACGAAACUUCAGUGACACCUGCUCUGUGCCAGACACUGAAGAUGGAGCAGUGAACAGCACUGACCCAGCCUGUCCUCCUGUUGCCUGCAGGCCAGAAGCAAGGUCUCGCUGUGUUACCCUGGCUGGAGUGCAGUGGCUACUUACAGGCAUGAUCAUAGCAUACUGCAGCCUCGAACUCCUGGACUAGAGCAGUUCUCCUGCCUCAGCCUCCAGAGCAGCUGGGACUGCAGACACGCACCACAGAGCCCAGCCUGAGUCAUUUUGAUUCUGUAACUGGCUUCCUCUCGGCGGGCAGGCUCACACCCUCCACCCCCAGCUGGAGAUGGAAGGAGGAUGCUCACCGCCCAUUCCUCAUGCAGGCCAUCGAUGGAAAUGUCAGACAGUGCGAGUCCACGCCUGAACACUUCUGGGGUCCGCUCUGGGACUGACACUGGCAGAUCCAUCGUGGCACCCGAGCUCUGUGAGGGCAAGACUUUGUUCGGUUGUGGGCUAUGCCCCCAACCCCUCGGACAGUGCCUGCACAGGUGGACAUUUUUGUUGGAUGAAGGAUUUUCUGUUAAAUGUGUCUGGCACACACAGAAAAACAAAGCCCAGCAGGUACGAUGGUGAUUAUUAUUGUUACUGGUGGCGCUCUAUUAUUGUUAUUAGUGUCUGUUGAAAAAGACCCUGAGCUAUACCAGCCCUUGGUUCUCCAGCCUGUGAAAUGGGCAUCCUGGGCACUGAGGCACUAGCCUUGGGAAGCUGAUAGGGGGUCCCUGCAGGAGAGACAAAGAACACUGCCCACCCCCCCGGGGGAGCCUGCGCCCCUCACCGGAAAGAGAAGCAGGGGGGAGCAGAGGGAGCUUGCAGCCCCACACGCAGGGCUGCCAGAAGGCCAUACAUAAUUCAUUGCCAAAUGGGGCUGCGGGCGGCUCUCCGCGGCGUGCGCUGGGGGCUCACUCUGCGCCUGGCACUUCGCUGACUGCGCCUCACACGUUGCCUCAUUGCAUCUUCAUGGAUUUGCAGGGUGUGACCCUUCCCCCUGUUUUACCCAGGGGGAUCCUGAGGCUCAGAGGAUGGGGCCACCGUGCUAGUCACACAGCCUCUCUGUGGCCAAGCUGGGCCUCGGGCCAGCAGAUUCGGCCCCCAGCGGCCCCCAUUCACUGCCUCUCUGCUGAGGGAAAAGACGGGCCUGGGGAGCGGGUGGGAGGCACAAAGGAGACCCCGCUCUGAGACAGGCUGCAGAAGAGGGAGCUGGGUCUCAGCAGGGCUGGGGAAGGCUCUGGCCCCAGCCCUCCGCCCAACCCCCUGCCCUCCUCUCCUGGAGGAGAUGCUCCCCAAAUUAGCCAUCAUGAGCGCUGGCUCUGGGGGUUGGGCGUUGGGGAGCAGUUUGCUCAGCUGUAAAAUGGGAAUAACAGAAGCCGUCCCUGGGACUAUGAGAUCAAGGUGCUCAAGAAAAGUGGUGUCUGCUGAGGGGAAAAGCCAGUCCCAAAAGGUUGCAUACUCUCAUUCUGUUUAUUUGUUUUUGUUUUUGAGACAGGGUCUCGCCCUGUCACCCAGGCUGGAGUACAGUGGCGCAAUAUGGGCUCACUGCAACCUCCACCUCCUGGGCUCAAGUGAUCCUCCCAUCUCAGACCCUCAAGGAGCUGGGGCUACAGGCACGUGCCACCGUGUCCGGCUAAUUUUUGUAUUUUUUGUAGAGACAGGGUUUCACCAUGUUGCCCAGGCUGGUCUCAAACUCCUGAGCUCAGGUGAUCCGCCUGCCUUGGCCUGCGAUAAAAUUGCACAGAAGUAAAUACACACACGUGAGGAUACGGAAAACCGGGGAAACCUGAGCAAGAGCAGUCAGACCCCGGCUGUGAUGGCGCCCAGUAGUUCUGCGAGAUGUUACCAUUGGGGAAACUGAGUGAAGGCGGGUACCUGGGAUCCCUCUGUUUUCUUUUUUGUUGUUGUUGUUAUUUUGAGAUGAAGUUUCCCUCUUGUUGCCCAGGCUGGGUGAUCCACCUGCCUCGGCCUCCCAAAGUGCUGGGAUUACACGCGUGAGCCACUGUGCCCAGCCUCUCUGUUUUAUUUCUUCUUUUUUUUUUUUUUUUUUUGGAGACGCUCUGUCGCCCAGGCUGGAGUGCAGUGGCACGAUAUUGGCUCACUGCAAGCUCCGCCUCCUGGGUUCACACCAUUCUCCUGCCUCAGCCUCCCGAGUAGCUGGGACUACAGGCGCCCGCCACCUCGCCCGUCUAAUUUUUUGUAUUUUUAGUAGAGGCGGGGCUUCACCGUGUUAGCCAGGAUGGUCUCAAUCUCCUGACCUCGUCAUCCGCCCGUCUCGGCCUCCCAUAGUGCUGGGAUUACAGGCAUGAGCCACCACGCCCGGCUGUUUUAUUUCUUAUAACUGUACAGGAAUCUACAAUGAUUGUAACAAAAAUUUCAAUUAAGGCCACUCUAGGCACAUGGCCUGUGGGGUAGCCCUGCUCAACAAGAAGCCGUCAAAAAAAUGUUUUUUAAUUAAAAAAUUUCUUCAAUUAAAAAGCGUUAUCUUCCUCUGCCCGGAAAGGGUUAAGUGAGUCACUGCAGUUAGCUCCCCUUCCCCCACAACCACCUAGACCAGGCCAGGGACCAGCGGGCAAUUGCCUGGCAGCUGGAGUUUUCCUCCACUGUGGACUGUACUUCUUGCGUCACUCUGAAUGUCUCCAGUCUUUAUUCCAGAAUGUUCUGGUCCUCUCCCACUUUUCCAAGGACAGGAAUUCCCUAGUGGGGCUCCAGAAGAGGCUCUGGAGGAGAACAAGAAAGGCCCUUGUCAUCCAUUGGCCUCAGGCUGGGAAAUCUCGGUUCCACUCCCAGCCCAGCCUCAAUAUUAGGUUGUCAGUCUGGAGUCUGAGAGCCAUGCCCCCACCCCCUUAGUCCUUCACCUCCAGGAGAGUUGGGGAUACUGGAAAGAAUGUUGAGUGUCAGAGCCCCUCUCAGUGGCUCACGCCUGAAAUCCCAGCCCUUUGGGAGGCUGAGGCAGGUGGAUUGCUUGAGGCCAAGAGUUCAAGACCAGCCUGGCCAACGCGACGAAACCCUGACUCUACUAAAAAUACAAAAAUUAGCUGGGCGUGGUGGCACACACCUGUAAUCCCAGCAGCUCGGGAGGCUGAGGCAGGAGAAUUGUUUGAACCUGAGAGGUGGAGGUUGCAGUGAGCUGAGAUCACAACACUGCACUCAAAAAGUAGUUAAUUAAUUUAGUUUAAUUAAAAAAGAAUAUUGAGUGUCAGGCAAUCUGGGUAGAACCCAUUGUGUUUCUACAGGAUAGAAUCUGCUGUGUUCUCUAGCGGAACUUCCGGAUCACCUUCACCGUAUGACUCUAGACAAUCCCUGUCCACUCUUCAGUUUUAGAUGCCCCAUUCAAAGAAUGAAAGAAUUGUCCUAGAUGAUCCUUUAGGGUCUUCCAGGCUGAUGACAAGGGGGACCUGGCCCCUCUGCUGCUGGCCAAAGAGGACUUUACUUCCCAUUCCGUGUGGUUGAACAAGAAUUGCUGGGCUCCAGUCCUGCCUUUGGCCCUUCCCUACAUGUGACCUUGGGCCCUCUUUGCCUUUCAGAAUCAAUACAGUGAGAGAGUUAACACAAGCUCAGGUUAGUAAGUCAUUCAACAAACAUUUACUGAGCGCUUAUCAAAUACUGCAUGCUGGAGUGGACACUGGAGAAAAAGGUGAGGAGAAGGCCGGGCGCAGUGGCUCGUGACUGUAAUUCCAGCACUUUGAGGGGCAGAGGCAGGUGGAUUACCUGAGGUCAGGAGUUUGAGACCAGCCUGGCCAACAUGGCAAAACCCCGUCUCUACUAAAAAUACAAAUAUUAGCCAGGCAUGGUGGUGCAUAUCUGUAGUCCCAGCUACUCAGGAGGCUGAGCAGGAGAAUCACUUGAACUCAGGAGGUGGAGCGUGCAGUGGGCCGAGAUUGCACCUCUGCACUCCAGCCUGGGCAACAUAGUGAGACUCUGUCUCAAAUAAAUAAAUAAAGUGAGGAGAAAAAAAUACCAUCUCUGUCUUCACAGAACUUAUAGUUUGAGAGGGGAGAAUCCCACAAGUAAAUUAUAAAUCUCAGCUGAGAUUAUGCAAAGAAGCAAAGGCCGGACGUGGUGGCUCACGCCUGUAAUCCCAGCACUUUGGGAGGCCGAGACGGGCGGAUCAUGAGGUCAGGAGAUUGAGACCAUCCUGGCUAACACGGUGAAACCCUGUCUCUACUAAAAAUACAAAAAAAUUAGCUGGGCGUGGUGGCGGGCGUCUGUAGUUCCAGCUACUCGGGAGGCUGAGGCAGGAGGAUGGCGUGAACCCAGGAGCACAGGUUGCAGUGAGCCGAGAUGGCGCCACUGCACUCCAGCCUGGGCGACAGAGCGAGACUCUGUCUCAAAAAAAAAAAAAAAAAAGGAAGCAAAGUGCCCAGCUGGGAUGGUGGUUUCAGAGGCCACAGUGGGAGCUUCCCAGAGAAGGGAUGAUUGAGCUAAGUCUAAGCAAAAGGGGUGGUCAGGGCAGCAGCUGCUCCAAAACAGGGGCUGGGGGCUUAUGUGGAGAGAGAAGACAUGGAGAGACCAUGCCCAGAAGGAGGCGGCGGCUUCAGUGAACAGUGCAGGGGAGCAGGUCCGAGGAGGCCGCCUACCAGGGGAAGGAGUCUCAUCUCCAUCCUAGACAAAAAAAGGAUCUUUUGAGAUGCAUUAAGCAGGGGAGUCACAGAUUGGAUUUGUGUUUUGAGAAUCUCCUGCUUACCUAGAGAAGAAGGGCAUCUCCUGGGCCCUCACUGUUGCCUUAAAUGAUUUUUAUUGUGUAUUACUUAAACAUGUGCAAGCAUAAAAUGAGAUAUAAACUCCUUGUAGCUCUUAUACAAGCAUCAGACCAAGACAAAUUGACCCAUCACGUACAAAAUCGAUUCAAAUCAGAUUAAUUUUAUGUGACAUGUUAUUAUGCCUUUUGUCUGAAACCCUGCCACCACCCACAGUGCAAUUAUGGCCCAACCACUGUGGUGUUCUGAAUUUGUGGGACAGAGAAUAUUGGCCUUUUAAACACGUGCAUGCAUGCAUUUGCGUGUGCGCACACACACACAUCCCAAAUGAUUUUUUCCCACUAUAUAUGAAGAACUCCUACAAACCAAAAAGAAAAAGGCAGACAAUUCAAGAGAAAAAUGGGGGAGGGCUUGCAUUAAAGUACUUCAUAACAAGAGUACUUAGGAGGCCAACAAAUACACGAAAAGCUGCUAGCUUCAUGACUCAUGGGGGUGGCUUGGUCAGUUCAGGAUACUGUAACAAAAUACCUUAGACUGGGAAAUUUAUAAACAACGGAAUUUAUUGCUCACAGUUCUGGAGGCUGGGAAGUCCAAGAUCAAGGCAGCAGUAGAUCCGGUGCCUGAGCCCGUUCCCUGCUUCAAACAUGGCACCUUCUUGCUGUAUCCUCACAUGGUGGAAGGGGGAAGACAGUUCUCUGGGGCCUCUUUUAUAAGGGCAGUUAUCCAAUUCACAAGGAUAGAGCCCUCAUGACCUAAUCACCUUUCAAAGAUCCCCAUCUUCUAACACCUUCUAACACCAUCACCUUGGUGAUUAGGUCUUUUUGUUGUUGUUGUUGUUGAGAUGGACUCUCACUCUGUUGCCUAGGCUGGAGUGCAGUGGCGUAAUCUUGGUUCACUGCAACCUCUGCCUCCCGGGCUGAAGUGAUUAUCCUGUCUCAGCCUCCCAAGUGGCUGGGAUUACAGGCGUGUGCCACCAUGCCCGGCUAAUUUUCAUAUUUUUAGUAGAGACAGGGUUUCACCAUGUUGGUCAGGCUGGUCUCGAACUCCUGACCUCAUGAUCCGCCCACUUCGUCCUCCCAAAAUGCUGGGAUUACAGGCAUGAGCCACUGCACCCAGCCGAUUAAGUCUUAACGUAUGAGUUUUUGGGAGAAACUCAAACAUUCGGACAAUAGCAAGGAGAAUACAAAACCACAGUGAGCUACCGCUUCAGACACCAGAGAAGUUUAAGUGAAAAAGACUGGCAAUACCAAGUGCUGAUGAGGAUAUGGAGCAACCAGAACUCUCAGACAUUGCUGAUGGGAAUCUAAAUUAGUAUAACCACCACGAAAGCAUCCGUAAGGUUUAAUUGUGUUGAACACACCCUGCCCUCUGACCAAGCAUUUCCACUCCUGGGCAUACAGGCAAAAGAAAUGCAUCCACGUGUUCAUCAAAAGAUGUAACCUGUGCCAGGUGAGGUGGUUCAUGCCUGUAAUCCCAGCACAUCGGGAGGCCAAGGAGGGAGGAUUGCUUGAGCCCAGAAGUUCGAGAGCAGCCUAGGCAACAAGGCAAAACCUCGUCUCUACUAAAAAGUAGCCAGGCAUGAUGGUAUAUGCCUGUAGUCCCAGCUACUCAGGAGGCCAAGGCAUGCAGAUUGAUUGAACCCGGAAGGUGGAGGCUACAGUGAAUUGUGAUCUCGCCACUGCACUCCAGCCUGGGUGACAGAGCAAGAUCUUGUCUCAAUUAAAAAAAAAGGAAGAAAGAAAGACAUAACCUGGAAUAUUCACACCAACACUAUUCAGGAUAGCCCUAAACUGGAAAGAAUCUGAAUAUCCUCCGGCUUUAGAACAGAGAGAAAUUAUAGACUAUUCAUUCAUACAGGGGAUGAUUGAUCAGCUUUAAGAAUAAACAAACCGUACACAACAAUAUAGAUGAAUCUACAACCUUAAUGUGCAAAAUAGUUCACAUAUAUAAAGGACAAAAACAGGCAAAACUACUCCAUGGUGUUAGAAAUAGGGGUAGAGGUUACCCUCAUGCGGCAGGAGGGUUAGUGAUAGGGGAUUUGGAAGAGGAGGAGCCCAAUGGACUGAACAGCUGAGCUGGAAACAGCAAUUUGUUCCUUAAAGUUCUGAACCCAACUGUUAUCCAGCAUGGAGUCUGUCUGGAGAGGCCAGAUGUGGGGCCUCUCACAGGGGAAUGAGAAGUGCCUCUCAGGGUCCCACCCAUGAUCCCCCUUUCCUUGCCCACACAACCACCAACUGGCAAGUAGUAACCCAGGACCUGUAGCCCCCACUGGCUUGACACAGAGCAUAAUGCAAGCUUUUCCUGCUCCAGGUCCUGGACACCACUUUGCCCUUUGCCCCACACGUACAGCCCCCUGACCAAAAGCUGGGUACUCUGGCUUGACUAGAGGGAGCUAGACUCCAGGAAUAAGUAAGGAGCUGGGCUUCCACGCUAGAGAACAAGAGCUUCUCUGGGGAAAGGGGCUUCCCAUGAAGCCCUGGGGCACUGGGAGAUUAAUGGGCAGACCUCUGGCCUCAGCUUCCAGGGAAGGGGAGGGUGUGGGCCAACAUGCGGUGGCUACACUGACCACAAGCCGAUGACCCCAGCCAGCCUCAGGAUGUCUCAGCUCUAGGCAUGGUUUUUCGUUUUGUUUUGUCGUGUUUUGUUUUUGAGAUGGAACCUCGCUCUGUCGCCUAGGCUGGAGUGAAGUGGCACCAUCUCGUCUCCCUGCAACCUCCACCUCCUGGGUUCAAGCGAUUCUCCUGCCUCAGCCUCCUGAGUAGCUGAGAUUACAUGUGCGUGCCACCUUGCCCAGCUAAUUUUUGUAUUUUUAGUAGAGAUAGGGUUUCAUCAUGUUAGCUAGGCUGGUCUCAAACUCCUGACCUCAAGUGAUCUGCCUGCCUCAGCCUCCCAAAGUGCAAGGAUUACAGGCAUGAGCCACCAUGCCCGGCAUAGGCAUGGUUUUGACAAUCUGUCUCUUUGUGCCCUGGCUCCUUCUCCAACUCCUCUUUGGAGGAGGCACAGGAGGAGGGGUCAUUUCACUGUUCCUGAAAAGUAGACAUAUAACCUACAUGCAACUGCCAGGUGAUAAGGGCCCCAUCUGUCUGGCAUGACGUUGGAGGUCCACAAAGGCUGAUUAGAUGAAUGCUCAGCUCUGGGGCCUCCCCACAGAGCUCACAGACAGGCGUGAAGGAAAGCAGGACUCUUAUUAGAAUAUGUUCAGAGUUUUCACUGAAGAAGCCUCCUGUGUGGGCCAGGCACUGUGCUCAGUGCUUUGAUUCACAGUCUCAUUUAAUUCUCACCAUUUACAGACAAGAAUUCAGCUAAGAUCCUUUUCAAUCAAGUCUGGCAAUAUCUGCCUUUCAAUGGCAGUGCCUAGUCCUUUCAUAUGUAAUAUACUUAUCAUUAUGGGUGGGUUUAAGUUUUAUCAUCUUGCUAUUUGUUAUCUAUUUGUCCCCCCUCUUUUGUUCCUCCUUUACUGCCUUCUAUUUGGUUGAGACUUAAUAAAAUAUUUUAUUCCAUCUUCUCUACUUACUUUUUAGCUAUGCCUCCUUAUAUUUUUGGUUGCUGGAGUGUUACAAUAUGCAUUCUUCAAUAUCCAGUCUACUUUCCAAUAAUAUUACACCACUUCAUGUAUAACGUAAGAACGUUACAAAAAUAUAAUGCCAGGGCUGGGCGCAGUGGCUCACGCCUGUAAUCCCAGCACUUUGGGAGGUCGAGGCGGGCAGCUCACCUGAGGUCAGGAGUUCGAGACCAGCCUGACCAACAUGGAGGAACCCCAUCUCUACUAAAAAUACAAAAUUAGCCGGGCAUGGUGGCUCAUGCCUGUAAUCCCAGCUACUCAGGAGGCUGAGGCAGGAGAGUUGCUUGAACCGGGGAGGUGGAAGUUGCAAUGAGCCAAGAUUGCGCCGUUGCACCCCACACUGGGCAACAAGAGCGAAACUCCGUCUCAAUAAAUAAAUAAAUUAAAUAAACAAAUAUAUAUAUAUAUAUAUAUGUAAUGCCAUCACAUCUUCUCCGGCCUUUGGUGUUAUUGUGGUCAUAUACUUUAUUUUUGUAUGUCUUAUAGAUCCCAG